Molecule: ribosomal RNA, 108 nt
Filed under: Pogona vitticeps (central bearded dragon)
Lineage: Eukaryota; Metazoa; Chordata; Lepidosauria; Squamata; Agamidae
Source: RNAcentral
GACUUCUAGCAUGCCACCCUGAAUACACAGUCUUUUCAUUUUGGAAGCUAAGCAGGGUCAGCCCUGGUGAGCAGUUGGAUGGGAGGAAUAUCUAGGAUCUUGAAGGAG